RNAcentral lists this ribosomal RNA (497 nucleotides) under uncultured bacterium. RNAcentral describes it as "partial 16S ribosomal RNA". It matches the Rfam family "Bacterial small subunit ribosomal RNA", at positions 28 to 507 of the family's 1533-position model. The record is from RNAcentral.
GAUGAACGCUGGCGGCGUGCCUAAUACAUGCAAGUCGAGCGAACAGACGAGGAGCUUGCUCCUCUGAUGUUAGCGGCGGACGGGUGAGUAACACGUCGAUAACCUACCUAUAAGACUGGGAUAACUUCGGGAAACCGGAGCUAAUACCGGAUAACAUGUUGAACCGCAUGGUUCAACAGUGAAAGACGGUCUUGCUGUCACUUAUAGAUGGAUCCGCGCCGCAUUAGCUAGUUGGUAAGGUAACGGCUUACCAAGGCAACGAUGCGUAGCCGACCUGAGAGGGUGAUCGGCCACACUGGAACUGAGACACGGUCCAGACUCCUACGGGAGGCAGCAGUAGGGAAUCUUCCGCAAUGGGCGAAAGCCUGACGGAGCAACGCCGCGUGAGUGAAGAAGGUCUUCGGAUCGUAAAACUCUGUUAUUAGGGAAGAACAAAUGUGUAAGUAACUAUGCACGUCUUGACGGUACCUAAUCAGAAAGCCACGGCUAACUACGUG